Long non-coding RNA from Capsicum annuum, 1059 nucleotides. RefSeq lists it as uncharacterized. The record is from RefSeq and is a predicted model, not a curated record. Lineage: Eukaryota; Viridiplantae; Streptophyta; Magnoliopsida; Solanales; Solanaceae. The transcript has 4 exons.
UUUUUUUUUUUUUACAUCAUUCCUAAACCUAAAGAACUUUAGGAAGAAAGUUACAGUAGAACCUAAAGACGCAAGACCCUCAUUCCCAACCUAAAGAAGGUAAUUAAAUCUCUUCUUUCUCAAUUAUAUUCCUACAUAAAUUAAUUGAAUCUCUCAUUGGAUAUCUCCUUUCAAUUUCCCACAAAUUAAAGCUUCAAUUUUAGAACCCAAAGCCAAAAAUCAACCAUUUAGCUCAAAAUCAAAUACCCCAACUGAAUUUAGUACUGUUUUCUCUGAAAAAAAAUGUAUCUUUUUUACCCAUUAACGUGAAUCUGAAUAUUGCUCAAAGCAUUUGGCCGGUAAAUCCACAUGGACACACACAAUUGUCUGUCGUUGCUAGUCUGUUGAAUCUAAAGUCCAGACCUUUUGGUGUGUCCCUUCUCAUUGCUGGUCAUGAUGAGAAUGGUCCCAGCUUAUUUGAACAGUGAAUUGAAGCUAUGUGGAUGAGCAAUGUAAAAAAGGAUGGCAGUUUUGUUGAUGUCAAGUCGAAGAGCAUUAAUGAUAAAAUGGAGGUUGUCAAAGCUAAUGCUCUUUCGGGGUCAACAGAUGAUUCAUCAGAAGAUCAAGAACUCGAUAUAAAUCCCAUAUACUUUGAUGUUGUGGGUGGAGCAAAAAAACGAUAGUGCGUAUGGAUUGGGUUCUCAAGCUUCAACCUUUGUCUAAAGAUAUGACAUGCAAUUUGCCUGAAGUGUCCGGUCAUGUUGCCGAAGAGCGCAUCAAAAUACUUGAGAAAGAGGUAUCGUCUAUGAGAGAAAAUCAAGAGAGAGUUCUUCAAGAGCGUGUAGAGUUGGAGGUGCUACAAGGAGUAGAGCAAGAGGUUUUUCGUUUGAGGCAACAAAGUGAUUAUCGAUUCAAAUCUAUGGAGGAACAAUGGUCUUGCAUGAUAAGCAAUAUGACAUUAUCUUCUCGCUCAUUUAGUAAUACUAAUGCUAAAGUGUUUAAUAUUUUGAGAAUAGUUAUCUAGUUUAAAUUUUAAACAUUGGUAGACUUUGCUUAUUGAAGUUGUUAUGUUGUAUGUUU